GAAAUAUCGUUGUGAUUUUGAAUAGGCACGUAUUUUUCACGCACUUCAUCUAUUAUUUAGUAAUUAUAUUAUUUCAGAAAUUUGUUUAAAAUUCAUAACUCCUCUUCCCGGAUAUUAAUUUUGGACGUACAACUGUUUUCUAUCAUAUUAUACCCUCUUAAACUGAGUAAGUUCCAUCAGAAGUUCUCGGACACUAUUUAUUCAUCUCCAGUGUAGACUACCACUUUGUCUCGUUCUUUCAACUCUUCACCUUUCGUCCUUAUCAUUAGUUUAUCAUCUGUUCGCCAUAUAUGUGCUCAGCCCAUGAAAGUUAGAUCCUAUUUCCUAUUUAUCUUUUUUCAGCAGUAUUUUAUAUUAGACCAUGAAUUCUUCGUAGUAUCUUCC
Molecule: non-coding RNA, 384 nt
Organism: Cinara cedri
Lineage: Eukaryota; Metazoa; Arthropoda; Insecta; Hemiptera; Aphididae
Source: the annotation of a GenBank genome assembly